UACGGUGGGAGCAAGCGUUGUUCGGAUUUACUGGGCGUAAAGGGCGCGUAGGCGGCCACCGCAAGUCGACUGUGAAAUCUCCGGGCUUAACCCGGAAAGGUCAGCCGAUACUGCGGGGCUAGAGUGCAGAAGGGGCAACUGGAAUUCUCGGUGUAGCGGUGAAAUGCGUAGAUAUCGAGAGGAACACCUGCGGCGAAGGCGGGUUGCUGGGCUGACACUGACGCUGAUGUGCGAAAGCUAGGGGAGCGAACGGG
Molecule: ribosomal RNA, 254 nt
Filed under: uncultured bacterium
Lineage: Bacteria
Description: partial 16S ribosomal RNA
Rfam family: Bacterial small subunit ribosomal RNA
Source: RNAcentral